RNAcentral lists this ribosomal RNA (188 nucleotides) under Vibrio alginolyticus. Its description in RNAcentral is "partial 16S ribosomal RNA". It matches the Rfam family "Bacterial small subunit ribosomal RNA", at positions 1 to 169 of the family's 1533-position model. Lineage: Bacteria; Pseudomonadati; Pseudomonadota; Gammaproteobacteria; Vibrionales; Vibrionaceae. The record is from RNAcentral. RNAcentral also lists the same sequence under 1 other name.
CUUAAAUUGAAGAGUUUGAUCAUGGCUCAGAUUGAACGCUGGCGGCAGGCCUAACACAUGCAAGUCGAGCGGAAACGAGUUAUCUGAACCUUCGGGGAACGAUAACGGCGUCGAGCGGCGGACGGGUGAGUAAUGCCUAGGAAAUUGCCCUGAUGUGGGGGAUAACCAUUGGAAACGAUGGCUAAUAC